UCUGAUGUUAGCGGCGGACGGGUGAGUAACACGUGGAUAACCUACCUAUAAGACUGGGAUAACUUCGGGAAACCGGAGCUAAUACCGGAUGAUAUUUUGAACCGCAUGGUUCAAAAGUGAAAGACGGUCUUGCUGUCACUUAUAGAUGGAUCCGCGCUGCAUUAGCUAGUUGGUAAGGUAACGGCUUACCAAGGCAACGAUGCAUAGCCGACCUGAGAGGGUGAUCGGCCACACUGGAACUGAGACACGGUCCAGACUCCUACGGGAGGCAGCAGUAGGGAAUCUUCCGCAAUGGGCGAAAGCCUGACGGAGCAACGCCGCGUGAGUGAUGAAGGUCUUCGGAUCGUAAAACUCUGUUAUUAGGGAAGAACAUAUGUGUAAGUAACUGUGCACAUCUUGACGGUACCUAAUCAGAAAGCCACGGCUAACUACGUGCCAGCAGCCGCGGUAAUACGUAGGUGGCAAGCGUUAUCCGGAAUUAUUGGGCGUAAAGCGCGCGUAGGCGGUUUUUUAAGUCUGAUGUGAAAGCCCACGGCUCAACCGUGGAGGGUCAUUGGAAACUGGAAAACUUGAGUGCAGAAGAGGAAAGUGGAAUUCCAUGUGUAGCGGUGAAAUGCGCAGAGAUAUGGAGGAACACCAGUGGCGAAGGCGACUUUCUGGUCUGUAACUGACGCUGAUGUGCGAAAGCGUGGGGAUCAAACAGGAUUAGAUACCCUGGUAGUCCACGCCGUAAACGAUGAGUGCUAAGUGUUAGGGGGUUUCCGCCCCUUAGUGCUGCAGCUAACGCAUUAAGCACUCCGCCUGGGGAGUACGACCGCAAGGUUGAAACUCAAAGGAAUUGACGGGGACCCGCACAAGCGGUGGAGCAUGUGGUUUAAUUCGAAGCAACGCGAAGAACCUUACCAAAUCUUGACAUCCUUUGACAACUCUAGAGAUAGAGCCUUCCCCUUCGGGGGACAAAGUGACAGGUGGUGCAUGGUUGUCGUCAGCUCGUGUCGUGAGAUGUUGGGUUAAGUCCCGCAACGAGCGCAACCCUUAAGCUUAGUUGCCAUCAUUAAGUUGGGCACUCUAAGUUGACUGCCGGUGACAAACCGGAGGAAGGUGGGGAUGACGUCAAAUCAUCAUGCCCCUUAUGAUUUGGGCUACACACGUGCUACAAUGGACAAUACAAAGGGCAGCGAAACCGCGAGGUCAAGCAAAUCCCAUAAAGUUGUUCUCAGUUCGGAUUGUAGUCUGCAACUCGACUACAUGAAGCUGGAAUCGCUAGUAAUCGUAGAUCAGCAUGCUACGGUGAAUACGUUCCCGGGUCUUGUACACACCGCCCGUCACACCACGAGAGUUUGUAACACCCGAAGCCGGU
This 1360-nucleotide ribosomal RNA is filed under the name Staphylococcus aureus. RNAcentral describes it as "bacterial SSU rRNA". It matches the Rfam family "Bacterial small subunit ribosomal RNA", at positions 85 to 1431 of the family's 1533-position model. The record is from RNAcentral. Lineage: Bacteria; Bacillati; Bacillota; Bacilli; Caryophanales; Staphylococcaceae.